GAUGAACGUUGGCGGCGUGCCUAAUACAUGCAAGUCGAGCGAACGGACGAGAAGCUUGCUUUUCUGAUGUUAGCGGCGGACGGGUGAGUAACACGUGGAUAACCUACCUAUAAGACUGGGAUAACUUCGGGAAACCGGAGCUAAUACCGGAUAAUAUUUUGAACCGCAUGGUUCAAAAGUGAAAGACGGUCUUGCUGUCACUUAUAGAUGGAUCCGCGCUGCAUUAGCUAGUUGGUAAGGUAACGGCUUACCAAGGCAACGAUGCAUAGCCGACCUGAGAGUGUGAGCGGCGACGCUGGCACUGAGACACGGUCCAGACUCCUACGGGAGGCAGCAGUAGGGAAGCUUCCGCAAAGGGCGAAAGCCUGACGGAGCAACGCCGCGGGAGUGAUGAAGGUCUUCGGAUCGUAGAACUCUGUUAUUAGGGAAGAACAGAUGUGUAAGUAACUGUGCGCAUCUUGACGGUACCUAAUCAGAAAGCCACGGCUAACUACGUG
This 497-nucleotide ribosomal RNA is filed under the name uncultured bacterium. Its description in RNAcentral is "partial 16S ribosomal RNA". It matches the Rfam family "Bacterial small subunit ribosomal RNA", at positions 28 to 507 of the family's 1533-position model. The record is from RNAcentral.